Molecule: ribosomal RNA, 468 nt
Filed under: uncultured bacterium
Lineage: Bacteria
Description: partial 16S ribosomal RNA
Rfam family: Bacterial small subunit ribosomal RNA
Source: RNAcentral
GACGAACGCUGGCGGCGUGCUUAACACAUGCAAGUCGAACGGAAAGGCCCUGCUUUUGUGGGGUGCUCGAGUGGCGAAAGGGUGAGUAACACGUGAGUAACCUGCCCUUGACUUUGGGAUAACUUCAGGAAACUGGGGCUAAUAACGGAUAGGAGCUCCUGCUGCAUGGUGGGGGUUGGAAAGUUUCGGCGGUUGGGGAUGGACUCGCGGCUUAUCAGCUUGUUGGUGGGGUAGUGGCUUACCAAGGCUUUGACGGGUAGCCGGCCUGAGAGGGUGACCGGCCACAUUGGGACUGAGAUACGGCCCAGACUCCUACGGGAGGCAGCAGUGGAGAAUAUUGCACAAUGGGCGGAAGCCUGAUGCAGCAACGCCGCGUGCGGGAUGACGGCCUUCGGGUUGUAAACCGCUUUCGCCUGUGACGAAGCGUGAGUGACGGUAAUGGGUAAAGAAGCACCGGCUAACUACGUG